This 384-nucleotide ribosomal RNA is filed under the name Triticum aestivum (bread wheat). RNAcentral describes it as "partial small subunit ribosomal RNA". The record is from RNAcentral. Lineage: Eukaryota; Viridiplantae; Streptophyta; Magnoliopsida; Poales; Poaceae.
AUGUCUGAAGAUUACCGCUGUACUCAAUCGAAUGAGGCAGCACUUGAGCAGAUGGUCCUUAGGGAUAUCAGGGAUCUGAUGCAAUCCAUGGGAAAGGAUAUUAAAAUGUAUGGGCUUCCGGAUUUGGUUGACACAGAUGGUUCUUCAGACGCCGAGUAUAGGGAGGUAAAAGAGGAGAGGCAAGUUAAAGCAGAUCAAGAACAUCUAGAUCUAUUCAACUACCUGAACAAUGAGCAACUGGCUGGUUUCAAUGACAUAAUGGAUCAUGUGACGAACCAAAAAAGCCAGAUAUUCUUUGUUGAUGGUCCUGGAGGCACUGGGAAGACAUACUUGUACAAGGCAUCCUUGAUAAUUUGGGAUGAAGUUGCUAUGACAAAGCAUUAA